This is a non-coding RNA of Cricetulus griseus (Chinese hamster), 6564 nucleotides long. Lineage: Eukaryota; Metazoa; Chordata; Mammalia; Rodentia; Cricetidae. The record is from RefSeq and is a predicted model, not a curated record.
CAUAGGUGCUGCAAACUGAACUCAGGUCCUCUGCAAGAGCUCUCUUAACUGCUGAGCAUUUCUUUACUGAAACUGAAAUUGAAGAUGUUUCUUAUGUUUCAGGAUCAUCAUUAUUUGUUCUUCAGUAGCUGUCAGGUUAGUUUGCUUUUUUUUUUCUUACCUGCUUCUUUUACUCUGGGUUCUUUUGUGACCCUCUCUCAAUCUUUAUUCUGUCAUUUCAUUUUAGUCUCAGUGUGGAUUUCUUUGCAUUUGUGUGAUUCUGAGAAUAGCUUCAAACAAAUCCAGUAGUCCAUCUUUGACUACCAGGGACACAUUGCAAGAGUCACUGUGGAUGCUGAAACCAUGAGGAAUCCUGAAAUUGAAAUGUACUACAAUUUUUUUCAUAGCAUAUGAUGAAGUUUAAUCUUUAAAUUAGGCAAGAAGCUUUUAUAAUAAUAGCUAGCUGUAGGAUAAUCCUAACAACCUGCUAUAAUAAAGUUAUGUAAAUACAGUCUUUCUCUUUCAGAAUCUUAGGCUAUAGUCAUUUUUGUUUUGAGGAUGGGAGAUGACCCAACGCCUGAACAAUGAGAUGAAGUGAGGGGAAGAUGUAGACUUUGUAACAUAGUGUUAGGUUUCCAUGUAAGUAGUCCUUGAACACAAACACUGCAAUAUCUGGGACUUACUACAUGGACCAGGUUGGCUUCUAACUCACAGAAAUUCACCUGCUUCUGCUUCCAGAGUGCUAGGAUUAAAGUGUGGCCACCACACCCAGCAUCUGUGGAUCCUUUUAAUGUUUGAAUGUGGCAAAAGACAGGGGAAUGAUGUCCUGUGUUUACAUGGCAGACAAGCAGUGAGUCUUCUCCCACAGGCCCCUUUCACAGGAACACCCAUCAUCCAUAAUGACAAAGCAUUCACAACCUAAAGGCCCUUCUUACUACAACCCGGUUCCCAAUAGGAUCACACUGGAGAUUAAAUGUUUUACCCAUGAAUGGGGCAGGAGCAUUCUAGAUUGUAACCACAGGGUAGUUGAGGAUGGGAUUAGGGGUAAAUUAAACUGCCAGAAGGCUCACAGCUUUGCCUUCCGGACCUUGAGAUUUUGAUGUAAAGUCUGAUUCUAAUAACUUUUUUUUUUUGCCAUUUUUGUUGCAUUUUACAGAGGCAGAUAUUUAGCCUCUUAUGCUUUGUUAUUUCUCCCUGUUGGUUUUUGUUUAUACAUAUCUUAAUGUCCCCCAGAGCAUUCCUUAAGAAUGGCAAUGUAUGCUCUUAACUGAUUUCAGCUUAUCACAAAUGAAUCUUAUCAUCUAUUACCUCAUAUAUAACUGAAUAAGAUUGAAAUAGAUUUUUUGCCUACACCCCACUUUUAGCUAUUUUUAUUAGAAUGUGUCAUAAACCUCAUGAUUCAGAUUUUUCUUUUAGAUUUAAAUAGCCAGAUGUCCUUUAAAUAAGUCAGACAUUGGCCUUCCUAUUCAUUGGCAUAUUUACUGCUGUUCCAGACAUUCAGUCUUUGAAUACCAUUUUUUCCCCUAAGAAACGGAAGAAAUACUAGAACUUAAAAGUAAGACCUAUUUUUUUGAAGUAUAGCAUCCCAAUAACUAAUUUUAUCAACCUUUAUGUAUGUGAAGGUGCUUAUAUUUCAUUUUCAUAUUUUGCAGAUUAUCUUUCUUAGAAUAAAUAACUUGAUUAAAAAAAAAAAACCUCUCAGCCUGUGAUAGUUUGAAUGUAAUUGUCCCCCAUAAUUUCAUAGCAAGGUGUGGUUAGUUGGAGUGGAUAUGAUCUUGUUAGCAGAAGUGUGUCACUGUGUGGGUGGGUUUUAAGGUUUCCUAUGCUCGGGAUUCUGCCCAGUGUUUUAGUCAUCUUCCUGUUGCCUGCAAGAUGUAGGACUCUCAGCUACUCUUCUAGCACCAUGUCUGUCUGCACACCACCAUGAUCCCCAAUGAUAAUGGACUGAACCUCUGAAACUCCCAAGACCAUCUGUUGUUUGUAAACAGAAACUCCAAGUAGUAAUCCCCAUUUGGAUGCUUCAGUAAAAGAGACUAAGAAGUGUUGUCCAUCUUAUUCAAGGCCAUUAUAAAAGCCACGGAUUGUUCCGAAAGUCUUCAACUUUUGGAGAAAGAUUUUGUCUAUGAUGAAGGAAUUAAAUAAUUGAGAAAAAUCUGAAAGAAAUUCUCUAUGUGAAAACUUUCAGACCCACCUUGACUCAUUUCCUGUCUGUCUGUCUGACUUGGAAGUUCCAACAUGCUCAUGGGAGUCAGAUGGGAGUCCACGAACUGAGAAUAAAAUUGAGGAUGAAAGAGACAGGAUUUAGCAAUAAAAGACCCAAAUAAACACAAGACCAAAGAUCUCUGACAAAUAAAAGCUUCCCUCACAGAGACACACAGCAUCAACUCAAAUGUUCACCAGGGAACCAAGGGUGAAGAAAUGUGGCCAGUGGACACAACAGAAUGGUGUUCAGUCAUAAAAAGGAUGACAUUCUGACAGAGCUUUUUGAUGAAGGUCUAGUCCAAUGGGAGAUAGAAGAAAGAUCUGCUCCCUUCUACCCUCUUCUAUGCUGCUUACUCAAACAGAGGGAAAGUCACCACCAGUCUGCAUUGCCUGAUAUUAGAGCGUGCUCUUACAUGAGAAAUACAAUUUCUCACAGCAAGGCAAAAUCAAAAGAUGAGACAGAAGAGCUCCCCAUGGCUGAAUCAGCUGUGGAUGGAUGUUGGAGAGGAAUGGGCACUACAGCUCUCUCAGGGCAAGCUUGGGUACACACUCUGGGACCGCUUGACUCAGAAAGAGGACUCUAGUAUCCUGCUAGCACAAGACUGCCAGGUAUGGAACCAGUGACAAAGAAAGAAGAGUAUGAACACGCGCGCGCACCCGUGCAUGCAUGUGUGCCUGUGUGUGCGUGGGCGCAUGCGCAUGCUGUAUGGGCAAGCACAGGAUAAUCCCGUGCAGCGAUCCCCCCUCCUGCUGCAGCCUAUGUGUUCAGGUGCCAUCUUGGAGGCACGUAUGAAUUAAAGUGCAACUAUUUUACUAACACGACACAGUCGCCUCUUCAUGGUCGCUAGGCCUCAUGUUAUUCUAAGUACAGAUAUGGUAAUCAUUUCUUUGACUGUUACUUGGUUAAAAGCUAAAAUCGUCUGUGGAAUUUUAAGAUUCACACGAAGAAACGUUUGCUUUUUAGCCUUUGUUGUUUUGAGUCAGGGUCUCCCUUUACAGUCCAGGCUGGCAUGCAGUGUACCAUGCAAGCUAGCUGGCCUGGCAGUCAUGGUAACCCUCUUGUCUGUGUCUUUCCAAGUUAUCAUACAAGCUUUUGAAAGGCUUUAAAUCGAAUUUAAAGCCUUUUAAAAGCCAAUUAAAUUUAAACUGCACACGAAAGAACUUGCAUGGAGGGGGCCCUGGGUCUGUCACCAACACUGCCUGUGUUCACCCAAGCACCAGUCCCCAGCACACGCAUGGAGUUCCUAUUAAAGGUAAUUAAGGGAGAUCUUCCUUAGCACAGUGUGAGAUCUUAUCACAGCUAUUUUACAUGUGGAUAAGAACCCAUCACAUUUGUAAAAUGGGGAAUAAAGCCUAUAGAUAUUAACAUAGCCCCCAUAGUUCUGAAACUUGUUAAUGACCCACUUGUAGACAAAACAGCUAGCCUUAAAGCUUUUUAGUUUAGUUUUGUUUGUUUGUUUUAUUUUUACUUUUGUUUUUCCUGUGAGAUGCUGGCCUGGGCCAUUUUUACAUUACAGAACAUUUAAAAUGCUUUAAAAUGUCUUCCAGAAGAAAUUGACUUGCUUGUAAUUUGCAAACAUGUCCCUUUAAUUUCGACAGCACGAAUGGUGCUAAGGAAAAAUGGUUGGUGGACUAAUGGUGGAUUUCUAGGACCCUAAUGAGGCUAUGACUUCUCUCACUGGAAAGACUUCCUCUCCAGGUGGAUCCUCAUGUCUGUCUGUGUGAGUCCAGCCUGGUUUGGCCCAGCAGUACCUUGAUUUAAGUAAUUUCUCCUGGUGUUUUCCCACGGUAUAUAAAGCACCACACAGGCACUUAGUGACUCUCUGGAAAGACAAACUAAGCUCUUUUCAGUUUGUUUUUUAUUUCAGUGUUUUAUUUUUAAAGCUGAUUUUUUUCUGAGACUAUUUGUUAUCUGUGGAAUUUGAGUUUGUCUAUGCAAAGAAAUCAUUUAAAAUGGAACGAAGCAGUUAUAGUCACUUCAAGCUCUUCAUUGUGUGUGGGGGUUGAUGUUUAUAACAAAACCAAAACGUGACAUAAUCCUCUAUAAAUUGGACGGGAUUUCUGCAUUUAUUCACAGGUCUGCAUUAGUAAAGCUUUUUAUAUACCACGUUUAAAAUCCUUUCCUCGGGGAUAUGCUAAGGAUAUCGACUAGACAUAAAAUGAGUUAGAGUUUCAAAAGCGUUUAUUGAGAUUUUUAGGUUCUUCCGGAGAAAAAUAACGGGCUUUUGUGUAAUGAGAGUGUUUGUUUGUUUGCAGCAACAAAAAACUUUUGCAAAGGCGAGAUCGGUGCACUUUGCAUGCCUAAGAGGUGAGAAUUUUGCGGCUGCGCUUCUAGGCAGCAGCACCAGGAGGCGCUAAUGCACCAUAGUUCGUUGUCGCACUGCCAGCCCAGGUGUUGCCAGCCUGCUCUGAGCUCAGCCUGCCCUGCACCUGCUCUUCAACCCAGGGCCUGACAGUGAUGGACAAACUGCAGGCGAUUUUAGGUGAUUGCUAUUAAGGGCAUAAUUCAGUUUCUUUCUGUAUCUGGGAGGGAUCUUUAUGAGGUGGGCUGAAGGAUGCUGUAGUCUGCUUUUCUUUUUGUUCUUCAUGGCAAGAAUUAGUGGCUCAUGUCUGGAAAGGAGGGAUUGAAACAACGGCUUGCAUUUGCUUGGAUUAAUCACUGGCCACGGAUAUCUUAAGAGGGUCAGGGACUUCCUGCUAUAGAUGAGGAAUUAUUAAGAACCAGAAGUAGCUAAGAGUGUGAUGGAGAGGCAACUGCAUUUCCUUUGAAAACGAUGAAAAUUGAAGAUUGUGAGAUCAAAUGAUCACAAUAAUUAUAAGGUUUGAUUCCAUUUAUUUAUUUAUUUAAUAGGAAAAGUAAAUAUUCUUGUAUUAAGUCACUUCUCAGAACAUGAAAUGCUAGGUGGUUUAGAUAAAAAAAAAUGUCCAGUGGGGGGAAAAUAAUGAAUAGACUUAAUUCCAUAAUUGCAUUUCAUCAGAUUGAUAUAAGAUUCAUCACUUUAAGUAAGGCAACAAAAGCAAAGUAUAUUUGUCUUGUAAGUGGUGUAAAAACCUUCACAUAGCAUCAAAAAUACGGUACCCUUAUUUUGUUUAUGACAUUUAUGGGGACCUGUCUGUCCCCAGGGAUAUAUUGGUUGAGCAUGGCAGCCAUUGAACAUGGAUGCUGAUGGGCUGUGCCAGGGCUGAGGUAAAACCCAUUCUGCUCUUUGGGUUAUCUUGAACUCUGAACCAAGUUAUUUCUCAAUGAAAAACACCUGAUAUCAGUAAUGGAGGCGGCCUCAGGAUCGUUAAUUCGUUGUAUGGAGUACUGAGAUACGAGCAUCCUUUUCUCUCCCUAUCUUCCUUCUAUUCUUUCUUUGCUUUUCACUUCCUCCAUGCCAGAACUACAAGCAUGUGCCAUAAUGCCUAUCAUGAAUCUUUAAAAUAGAACUGUGCCUGCCAGCCUGGACUGUAACCCUGUGGAACUCUGACCCCAGUACAUGUUUUCUUUUAACAGUCAUCUAGAUAAUUAAAGUUAUAGUUUUUCUUAGUUAUGAUAAAAGAUAAAUUAGAUAUAAAACUUGAAACUCACCAAGAUAAGUUAGAUUUUCUCUAACUUUGUCAAAUACAAAUAGACUUGAUAUUGUAAUUGUAGUUCUUACUUGCUGUUUUGUUGUACAUAAUUUUAUUAUGUUAAAGUUAAAAAACCUUCCUUUUUGACUAGACAGAAAAGGGGAAAUGCUGUAGGAUAAUCCUUCUGUAUACUGUGAAUAUGCACUAAUCUCAUUGGUUGAUAAUAAAGCUGAUUUGGUUUACUUAAGAUAAAUAAAACUAGUCAUCAUUGAGAUAUCUCAUCACUGCAAUAGAAAAGUAGCCAAGGCAUUCAAUAAUAUUUAUGUUCUAGAAUUUAGUGUGUGUGUGUGUGUGUGUGUGUGUGUGUGUGUGUGUAUGUGUGUGUGAAUUUCUGUAUUCACCUCUGUGUGGGGCAUAUGUGUGCAUUCUUGGUAUUAAUGCAUUUGGAAGCCAGAGGCCAAUAUUGAUAUCUUUUUUUACUUACUCACUCCUCACCUCAUUUUUUGAGAUGAGUCUUUCACCAAAUCUGUAGCAUGCCGGUUUGGCUAUAGUAGCUGGCUAGGAAGCCCCAGGGAUCUCUGUUUCUGCUUUCUCAGCACUGGGAUUACAAACAUGACCUCUGCACCCAGUUGUUUUAUGUGGUUUCUGUGGAUUGUAUGUCCCAUGCUUACAAGGGAAUAUAUUUAUUAAAGACUAAGCCAAUUUAGUUUGUAAGCCCCCCAAUUUUGAAUAUUUACUAAGCCUUUGGCUUUAUAUUUGUAAUGUUGGAAUUUAUGUGUCUAUUACUGAUUAGGAAACUAUACCUUAUUAUUAAAUAUUUAUCUUGUUUCU